RNAcentral lists this ribosomal RNA (809 nucleotides) under uncultured bacterium. Its description in RNAcentral is "bacterial SSU rRNA". It matches the Rfam family "Bacterial small subunit ribosomal RNA", at positions 10 to 808 of the family's 1533-position model. The record is from RNAcentral.
AGUUUGAUCCUGGCUCAGGAUGAACGCUAGCGAUAGGCCUAACACAUGCAAGUCGAGGGGCAGCACAUGAAGCAGCAAUGCUGAUGGUGGCGACCGGCGCACGGGUGAGUAACGCGUAUGCAACCUGCCUACAACAGGGGAAUAACCCGUUGAAAGACGGACUAAUACUCCAUAAAACAGGGGUCCCGCAUGGGAAUAUUUGUUAAAGAUUUAUCGGUUGUAGAUGGGCAUGCGUUCCAUUAGCUAGUUGGUGAGGUAACGGCUCACCAAGGCAACGAUGGAUAGGGGAACUGAGAGGUUUAUCCCCCACACUGGUACUGAGACACGGACCAGACUCCUACGGGAGGCAGCAGUGAGGAAUAUUGGUCAAUGGACGCAAGUCUGAACCAGCCACGUCGCGUGAAGGAAGACGGCCCUACGGGUUGUAAACUUCUUUUGUAAGGGAAUAAAGUGAGUCACGCGUGACUUUUUGCAUGUACCUUACGAAUAAGGAUCGGCUAACUCCGUGCCAGCAGCCGCGGUAAUACGGAGGAUCCGAGCGUUAUCCGGAUUUAUUGGGUUUAAAGGGUGCGCAGGCGGGAGAUUAAGUCGGCGGUGAAAUUUUGCAGCUCAACUGUAAAAGUGCCUUCGAAACUGGUUUUCUUGAGUAUGGAUGAAGUAGGCGGAAUUUGUGGUGUAGCGGUGAAAUGCAUAGAUAUCACGAGGAACUCCGAUUGCGCAGGCAGCUUACUAAGCCAUAACUGACGCUCAUGCACGAAGGCGUGGGGAUCAAACAGGAUUAGAUACCCUGGUAGUCCACGCAGUAAACG